Molecule: unclassified non-coding RNA, 429 nt
Filed under: Hevea brasiliensis (rubber tree)
Lineage: Eukaryota; Viridiplantae; Streptophyta; Magnoliopsida; Malpighiales; Euphorbiaceae
Source: RNAcentral
AAAAAUAUUUUUUUUUUAUUAUUUUUAAUAUUUAUUAUAAUUUACGUGUUUAUUUAUAUGGGCUUCCCAUUCCAUAUAACUUGAUAACAUGAAAUCACAGCUACACCUAAUUAAUCUAUAAGCUGGCUGCUCAACCUGUGCGGCAACCAACUCAGGGCCGAAAGGAAUCUGCACAGUAGGCAUUGCUUUUCACAAAGAAUAUGCACACAAUGGCAUUCCCAGUCCACUGAAAUCAACCAUUACUCAGUGUCUUCAAUGAUGGCACCAUGCAUGCAUUGACAUGGACACCUUUUCAAGCUUCAGUCAACCUCCACUCUCUCAACCGUAAGAACACUUGCAUCCCAUGCAAAAGCACAAACCCCGGCAAUAGUCCAAUGCGUUGAUUGGUUGGAGCUAACUCGCUUAGAAAACUUUAAAUUCUUGGUUGGU